Molecule: long non-coding RNA, 4237 nt
Filed under: Equus caballus (horse)
Lineage: Eukaryota; Metazoa; Chordata; Mammalia; Perissodactyla; Equidae
Description: lncRNA (ENSECAG00000045751.1)
Source: RNAcentral
CCGGCGAUGUCAUCUCUACAUAUUUAUAGGGCCUCUAUGGAGAGGGUGUGCAUUAUAGAAACGACGGCAUUUUUCUCCGGAUGACGGGUUACGCGAAUGGGUCCAAACGAUGAGCUACGUGUCCCAGCGCAUGUCUGAUAGCCUGGUUGGCGGAGGCGGCCAUCUUCUGCUGGUGAAUGGGCAGCCGGACGUGUGCCCAGAUCUUGGGGAGCAAAGAAGUGGCAAAGCCCCCUGGCCACAAUGGGCCCUGGCUCCCCGUUCCAGCCCACAAGUGGCACCAGGAGCGAGUAAUCAGAGCAGUGGUGCUGAGCUCCCUGUCAUGGGAGGCAUUCAAGGGAAGCUGGACCACUAGAGCAGAGAGGAAAAGGAGAGGCAGGAGGUUGAAGGGUGUGCGGUUAGCCGUGUAGGCUGACCAUUCUGUUCUAUGGUUCCGUGGCCGUGUCUCAGGGCCCACUCCGAGUCAGGCUGGCCACACAGUCAAGGCCUCAGGUGGGGGCAGAGGCGAGCGGACCCCAGUGAGGAGUGAGGCCUGCCAUGGAGCACACAGAGGAGACCUAACCAUCCCUGGGGGCUGAGGGAGGGCUUCCUGGAGGGGGCUUGCGAAGGGCAAGGUCAGAGCUUGGCCUCCUGGGCCGUGAGGAGGGCUGGACUUCACCCCGAGGAUGCUGUGGAGCCACCGGGCCUUCAGCGGGGGAGGCAAGCUCAGCUCAGCUCAGCGUACCCUGGCUGCGGCGGGAAGAACGAUUGGGGGUGGGGAUGCGAGGCCAAGGGGCCUGGUCUCCAGAUCCGGGGCCAGGACAGCUUCAGAGCCACUCUUGCCUGGCCGUCAACUUCCCUCCAUGUGCGCUCUUUCCUAGCAACUCCAACUGCGCUGGCCCCACAGACCCCACACCCCGGCCGCUUCUCCACUCUAACUCCUGCUCACCUUGCUUCAGCUCCCCAGCCAGUCCAGAGAGCCACGUGGGUCUAGCGUGGAGCUAACUUCCUACUUUACUGAGUAAAGACUCUCAGCAGAAAACCCAGCUCCCCUGCUAUCGCCGCAACCUCGUAAAACAGGGACCCCGAAACCCCCCGGGGUGGAGGCCGAGGGAACUCAGAACAGAGCGCCGGCCGUCAUGCUGCCUGUUCUCAUCUGUCACUGAUGGCAGAAGAUGUCACCACCAGAGCCCAGAGGUCCCAGGAACUGGGGCUGAUGCCCGGGGUCCCUGGCCGCCUGCCGACGGUGUCCCUGUGGCUGUGCGUGCUCACGGCCCGUGUGGUGCCCCACAGCUGUGUGCACAGUUACAAGGCCUUUGGCAGCAGGAAUGGGCGUCCCUGGGGGAUCUGACACUGAACCCCGACACCGACCCUGGUUUCAUCGUCGUGUCACCAUGAGCACGUUGCAAUUGACAUUCACGGGCCCGAGAUGCUUUCCAGGGUGAAAGCAGACGGGCAAACGCUGCCUCCCCGCCUCUCUGUGUUCUCUUCAGACAGAGCUCGGACCCUCUCCUCCAACUCUCUCCUGAAAACCUGUUUGGGUAAUUAUUUAGCAGGGAAAAUCUUGGCAUACGUUAGCUUAUAAGCAGGACAAAGACCCUCGGAAGUCCUGCUCCGAGGGCUGCAGUGACGGGGCGUUCCCAGGGCCCUGGGCCUCUGUCCAGCCCAGUGCAGCCUCCGGUGUGGCGGGGUCCUGCUCUCCAGGACCACCCUGGGCUCUCUGCUUGCCGCGUCUGAGCCAAGAGGUCCUGCUCAAGGGAGAUGUCCAGGCCCUCCCUGCACCCUGGCCCACGGCCCUUGCCACCACAAACCAACCCAACCACGUGCACAACCCUGUGGCCGACUAGGCCGCAGCUCCACAGAGGCCUCCCCUGCUGGGAGCAGCCUGGGCUGGACAGGGCAAGGGACACGGGGUCCCUGUGGACCAGCAGCAACCAGCAGAUGCCAGUUCUCAGCCGUCCUCGAAGGCUGGGGGAGAGUCGGCACUGGCUUGGUGGACGAGAGGCCUCAGACGUUUCGGAGCAGAGGAACGAGGGGAUCUCUUAGAAACCGGGAAUAUGAGAAAGAACGAUGAAAUGGCCUCCUGGAGAAUAGCUGCCUGUCUGAUGCUCGAUGAUCCCUCCCCCUCGCUCUCCCUCUCUCCAAGUGCAAUCGGAUUAUUUUGGUGCCCACAAUGCCCUCGUGUCAACACAUCGGAGCCUCUCCUGAGAGCGCCCGGGCACCGAGGGAGCAGAGCGACUGCAGCUUUUGCCUUUGGGGUGGCGGUGGCACCAAGGCCUUUGAAUCAAUCCUGUCAUUCUGAGGAUUGUGGGCAGGCAGAGAGGAGGGGAGAGGGCGCUGGCCUGGGGACCUCGGCAUCACUCUCUCUGUUUUAUGGACUAGAAAGAUUAAGUAACUGGCCCGCGGUCACAAGGCAGCAGCAGGGCUGGGAUUCAACUCAGGUGUGUUGGUCACAGAGCAUUUUCCUUUUCAACAUUCAGUCGUCAUUCAGCAGAUAGUGACCUCCCUCCAGGGCUCUCGGCUCGGGAGAUGCAGCAGGAGCGUGUCAGGCCCCACGGAGGCAGAAGAUGAACACGGAUCAGAUCACAGAGCAGGCCAACUUAGAGACAGCUUAGCGCUUUGAGAGGAGGCCGCAAGGGGAUGCCCGAGGGGCCGAGGUGGGCUGCUGUAGACGGGUGGCCAGCUGGUCUCUAGGAGGUGGCCUGAAAAGGGAUGGAUGCUGGAGGAGCCCGCUCUGACGGAGGAGGUGGCACAGGCUGGCGGGCGGGAGCAGAGCCCGGCACUGUUCUGCCGUCCGUGAAGUCUCAACACAGAUUGGGGAGGUGGCUUUUGCCUUUUGCUCCAGCUAUGGUGGGGAACUGGGCGCCGGGGCCAGUGUGUGGCUCCAGCGAUGGGCCCGGGCCCACUGUCCAGCCCUGUCAUUCCGUGGCUGGAUCCUCAUCAGGGGCUUGGGCAUCUGGACCCCAGGCAAGCUGCUCCUUGGAAGAAGCAGCCGGCCCAGCCAAGAAGAGCCCAGUGCUCUGAGGACCACUCCCCUUCACUCGUGUGGCUUAUCAGGAGGGGGGCUCGCAGGCGCUUCUCUGUGACCCCUGCCUGCGUCUCACGGGGUCACACCCCACAGGGCAUUCAUGAAUGUGGAGAUCUGCAGAUUCCUUGGCAGGCCGGCUAUUGCCAGUCAAGCGAGGUUUCAAACACUGGGCGGCUCCGCCAGCCCGGUCUGAGGCCAACCUGGGGCGCCGGUGGCAGCACAGUUUCCCGGAGUCCCAGAACCCCACCAGGCAGCAGGCCACAGGGCCUCACCCUGCUGGACGCCCUCUUGGUUCUCUGGCAUCUGAAGUCUGUGUGACAGUGUGUGGCCUCACCACGGCUGGCUGCUUCCACGUGGCAGGAGACAAAGUUCCCGUGGCCUCGUUUCUUCCUUUUCCCUGGUGGGCAGGAGCCCAGGAGGCUGGCCCGGGGGGUGGGUCAGCGAGGAGAGCCCACUGACCCUGACUCUGAGGGAGGUACUGACGUGAGUCCCAUUUGAAAGGAAACUGAGGCUCCCGGAGGUCAGGUGACAUGCUACGUGGUGUAGCGAGGACACUGGGCUCUCCUGUCACUUGGACCCAGCUUCUGAAUCUCCCCCGUCUGUGGAGCCCCGGGCCAUCUCCGCCUCCUCCCAGAAGCCUUUGGAAAGGCCCCUCUUCCCGGAGCCCCCUGCUUGGGUGCAGAGCUGUCACAGUUUUAGCUUCCAAAGGUAAGCUCCUCCCAGGAAGCGAACUGGUGGCCUUUGUGGCCCCGUGGACCAUGGACACAGUGGGUGCUUUAUAAAUUACCAGGUCGUGACCCUUAAUGGGCUCCACCAGUUUUGGGCUGAUCCCAGGCCGUGGCCGUGGCCUGGAUGGACUCCGGGUGUCGGCAGUCCCUCUGGGGACCGUGCCUGCUGGGGUGCUCUGUGAACUGUGGGUCGGCUGUUUAUGGAAGCUCUUUUUGACUUCAAGGAAAAUCAUGUGUUUGGAAAAGAAGAUACCGCGAGGAGAGCCGAAUCUCUCACCUCUGUUCUGGAAAAAUAGAUCAUUAUUUUCCUUCCCUUUUCUUUCCUCCCCGUAGCAGAGCAGAUGUUAACUUUCCAAUAAACGGGGGGAAAAAAUAGAUGAGAGACAUUUAGCAAACUGUAGCUGUGCAGAUCAGAGUUAUCACUCUGAUUUCAACUGGGACUAUAAAAUUUUAUGAGCUAUUAAAUUGUCCUAAAGCUCCUUUAACAUACAAACUCGAGUGUCUG